RNAcentral lists this ribosomal RNA (224 nucleotides) under uncultured bacterium. Its description in RNAcentral is "partial 16S ribosomal RNA". It matches the Rfam family "Bacterial small subunit ribosomal RNA", at positions 328 to 539 of the family's 1533-position model. The record is from RNAcentral.
ACGCUCGACACCUACGGGGAGGCAGCAGUAGGGAAUCUUCCACAAUGGACGCAAGUCUGAUGGAGCAACGCCGCGUGAGUGAAGAAGGUCUUCGGAUCGUAAAACUCUGUUGUUAGAGAAGAACACGAGUGAGAGUAACUGUUCAUUCGAUGACGGUAUCUAACCAGCAAGUCACGGCUAACUACGUGCCCGCAGCCGCGGUAAUCUGAGCGGGCUGGCAAGGC